GUCGACAAUACUUCAGAGAAUCAUUUCUAUAGUUAUUGUCCUCUUCUUGGUUCCUAAAAAGAGCCACAGAUCCCAACCGGGUUGAUGACUUUUAUAUCCUCGACUGGCCCAAUUUCUUCGCGAAAACGCUUCUUGGGGGUUUAGCCACCCCCAUCUUUUGACCCUCGCUCUGCCUGCAAAGGCGGCGGCCCAGGAAGCUCAACAGAGAAUGCCACAGUCUUCGGACGGCGGCCUCUUCUCUGGUUUCCAGGGGCUGUAUUCAGAGGGUGGUGAUGAGCUAUACCCUGGACUGGAGGUCUUGUCUUGCUUUUGCGAGCACUCUGCCAGGGUGGGUGUCGAUGGACGUCUGACCGGC
This 355-nucleotide small nucleolar RNA is filed under the name Sporothrix schenckii ATCC 58251. RNAcentral's name for it is "Fungal small nucleolar RNA U3". It matches the Rfam family "Fungal small nucleolar RNA U3". Rfam says of the family: Small nucleolar RNAs (snoRNAs) are involved in the processing and modification of rRNA in the nucleolus. There are two main classes of snoRNAs: the box C/D class, and the box H/ACA class. U3 snoRNA is a member of the box C/D class. The record is from Rfam by way of RNAcentral. Lineage: Eukaryota; Fungi; Ascomycota; Sordariomycetes; Ophiostomatales; Ophiostomataceae.